UUUUUUUUUUUUUUUUUUUUUUUUUUUUUUUUUUUUUUUAAUUCGAGCUGACCUUGGAUUAGAUUUUUUAAGUCGACUUUUGCUGGUCUUCUCAGUAAUACCAAUGGAAAAAUCUUGAAGCUUCUGAACUCCUGUUGCUCAGUUAAAGCUGCAAUGUCUCCUGCUAUUGACCCUCUCAUGCUUCCAGCACCCCAAUGCUUUCCAGAUAGCCUGCUUCUUGCGUAGCGGAGUCACCUGCACCCGUGUAUGUGAAUUCUUCCCUCCUUUUCAUACUGAACCACACUCUAGACACUUUUUUUCCCCCAAUGACUUGGCCCGCCAGAACACCAUUACCACUGCAGUCACAGCCGCUACUGGAGCCAGCCAGCCAGCCAGCGUGUGCGCAAGGCCUGUUUCCCAGCCUGCUUUGGGACUAUGGUUUCACUGACUUCUGUCCCCAGAUUUUGCUCUUGAAGCCUGGCCAAAGAGACGCUUUUCUUGGGAAGGCCCCUCUGACCCUUUUGGAAGUGUCAGUACUGUGUAGAGGAGAUGAGCUCUGAGUGACUUUUGUCCCUGCCCAUGGUCACGUCUCAGGUAAUUCCAUGCCAGCACCCAGCUGUCAGCCGGAGGGACCAGAACCAGACUUGUGUGUGUUGUACAGUCCCUCCUUUCCAUUUUUGCAUCAGGGAACCCAGGCCUACAUGACUAGGACAUAUCUGUGGCCACUGUAGGUGCUCUACCAUUUCUGUGCUUGGAGAUAACUCUGUGCGUGAUGGUAGAUGCAGAACCUGAGAUGCAUCUGGCUAUAAUCUCUCUGUUGCAGCACAAGGCCAGCACGGGACCUGGGCUGCAGCUGGGGGUGGGGCUGGGGGCGGGACAGAGGAGCCAGAAUCGAACUGCAUUGAGAAACUGUGUCUUCUGCACAUGGUCAGCGCAUUUGACGUCUGCCUCUUUGGAGCAAACCUGUUACUGCUGAGGAGCUGGCACAAAUGGGGAGCACAGGUGUUUGCGGGCUUCAGUGUUGUGACUCCCUCCCAUAUGCCCCGAACCACGGUUCUGCGGAGGGGAUCCUUUGCAACGGUCUCAGGCUUCACCAUCCUCUUGGAUUUGUAGCACGGUUUCUUCUGCAUCUUCCUCUGGGCCAGGAGCCGCAGCCCAGCCUCGGCUUGAGAUCCUUAAUGGACAGUAGUGGGACCUACUUUCCUCACUACUUCCGUGUUUCCUGGCUGACCCGUUCCUGUCCCUCGACAGCUCUAACGUGCGGCUGGCACCUCCACACCCAAGCCUGCCUUCGAUGAAGCCGAUGGCAUCGAUGUGCCUCCUGUGCCUCCUCGAUCUAUUGUUGUUGGUUUUCUGCUUACUGUGGCGCCUCUUCACACUGUCCACGGAUCAGCUUGAUCCCAAGAACCCCCCGGCCCUCGAGGCAGCAUUUUUUUUUUAUCGUGGUGUCUCUACCACCUUGGCUGCACAGUAGUUCGGUGGCCUAAAUACCCCGACCCUUAAACUUCCUUUGAUGAUGGAGAGGUGGGGCUCGAGCCUCUGUUUGGAGCCCCUGCUUUGACAGGUCCAGCAGCGGGUUCUAAUUCAACCUUCGCCACAUCCCAGCCGCUCAGUGCCGCCGGCAAAGCGCUGUCGUAUGCCUGUCAACAACCAUUCAUCUUGCCAUUGCAUUUACCUUAUCAAUUCCCCCCCCCCCCCAUUGGUGAAGCUAAUACUUUCAGCAUGGGAGCCACCACCACCAGAAGCUCAGUACUGAGGACUGUAGUUUAUCAUCUUUGCACACCGCUGUUAGCUAACUUGUACCCACAGGGUCCACAGCCCCCAGCUUUAUGCCGGGACCAUUUUGGUGCCUUAGUGAAGGAACACAGACUUUAGCACCAUAACCUUGCCGGCCCGUGGCUCUUUGAUUCUGAUAUCUGUAAGAGCCCCUCUGUCCUUGGGGGUCAUCAUUCUCCUUCCUGCCUGUACUCCUAGCCAUGAGCGAAGAAAACUUGUUGCUACAGCAAGCGGCCAGCAUCACUGAGAAGACACAAGAGCCAAGUGGCAAUGUUGUGUUUUCUUGUGUUCAAAUUAGGCGGGACCUAUCCUAGCAGGGCGCAUCCUGUUUCACUACCGGUGAAAAUACCUGGUCAACGAGCUACGGUAUCUCCUCCAGUGUCUGAAGAGACGGCACCACGGCAAAGUCACCUGUGUUGACAGGUGCCCCCGAACCUUUGGCGAGACGACCCCAGCUCUGGCAUACACAGGUUUGGCCAGUGCUAUAUCUUUGUUGAAGUCAGAUGUGUAGGCACACCACCCCAUCUCUGUUGCCUGCUGCAAGAUCUCUGCAAAAUUAAGACGUGGAAGCUCAUUUUAAGAACCAGAGUGACUGUUCUCCCCACAAAACCUUGCUCCAUCAAGAAGAAGAUCAGUUUUAUGUCCUUAAGAAACUCCACUUCCUGACUUCCCUUCUGAACUUUAGAAGUAAGGGAUUUGAAACUAGAUGGACACAAGGCUGGAGGAUGCAGAGGCAGGACAAUGUGGUCUUGCUCUUUUUUUUUUUUUUUUUAAUCUCCUUUCCAAUUUCUCCAAUAUCUCUGCAGGUGGCAUUGCACCAGAUGUGUGCUGGAAACGGUUCUUGAUAUUUCUCCCUUAAAAUGUUUUAACAUCUCUUUUUGUGUGUGACUUAUUAAAAACAAGUUGGACUUAAA
Long non-coding RNA from Peromyscus maniculatus bairdii (prairie deer mouse), 2669 nucleotides. RefSeq lists it as uncharacterized. The record is from RefSeq and is a predicted model, not a curated record. Lineage: Eukaryota; Metazoa; Chordata; Mammalia; Rodentia; Cricetidae.